Molecule: ribosomal RNA, 429 nt
Filed under: Gemmatimonadota bacterium
Lineage: Bacteria; Pseudomonadati; Gemmatimonadota
Description: Gemmatimonadetes bacterium partial 16S ribosomal RNA
Rfam family: Bacterial small subunit ribosomal RNA
Source: RNAcentral
UAGGGAAUCUUCGGCAAUGGACGAAAGUCUGACCGAGCAACGCCGCGUGAGUGAAGAAGGUUUUCGGAUCGUAAAACUCUGUUGUUAGAGAAGAACAAGGACGUUAGUAACUGAACGUCCCCUGACGGUAUCUAACCAGAAAGCCACGGCUAACUACGUGCCAGCAGCCGCGGUAAUACGUAGGUGGCAAGCGUUGUCCGGAUUUAUUGGGCGUAAAGCGAGCGCAGGCGGUUUCUUAAGUCUGAUGUGAAAGCCCCCGGCUCAACCGGGGAGGGUAAUUGGAAACUGGGAGACUUGAGUGCAGAAGAGGAGAGUGGAAUUCCAUGUGUAGCGGUGAAAUGCGUAGAUAUAUGGAGGAACACCAGUGGCGAAGGCGGCUCACUGGUCUGUAACUGACGCUGAGGCUCGAAAGCGUGGGGAGCAAACAGG